RNAcentral lists this transfer RNA (46 nucleotides) under Pyemotes zhonghuajia. Its description in RNAcentral is "tRNA-Cys". Lineage: Eukaryota; Metazoa; Arthropoda; Arachnida; Trombidiformes; Pyemotidae. The record is from RNAcentral.
AAUUAAGAAUAUUGAUAUUGCAAAUAUCUAAAUAAAAUCUUAAUUU